Molecule: ribosomal RNA, 497 nt
Filed under: uncultured bacterium
Lineage: Bacteria
Description: partial 16S ribosomal RNA
Rfam family: Bacterial small subunit ribosomal RNA
Source: RNAcentral
GAUGAACGCUGGCGGCGUGCCUAAUACAUGCAAGUCGAGCGAACAGAUGAGGAGCUUGCUCCUCUGACGUUAGCGGCGGACGGGUGAGUAACACGUGGAUAACCUACCUAUAAGACUGGGAUAACUUCGGGAAACCGGAGCUAAUACCGGAUAAUAUAUUGAACCGCAUGGUUCAAUAGUGAAAGACGGUUUUGCUGUCACUUAUAGAUGGAUCCGCGCCGCAUUAGCUAGUUGGUAAGGUAACGGCUUACCAAGGCAACGAUGCGUAGCCGACCUGAGAGGGUGAUCGGCCACACUGGAACUGAGACACGGUCCAGACUCCUACGGGGGGCAGCAGUAGGGAAUCUUCCGCGAUGGGCGAAAGCCUGACGGAGCAACGCCGCGUGAGUGAUGAAGGUCUUCGGAUCGUAAAACUCUGUUAUUAGGGAAGAACAAAUGUGUAAGUAACUAUGCACGUCUUGACGGUACCUAAUCAGAAAGCCACGGCUAACUACGUG